This 253-nucleotide ribosomal RNA is filed under the name uncultured bacterium. Its description in RNAcentral is "partial 16S ribosomal RNA". It matches the Rfam family "Bacterial small subunit ribosomal RNA", at positions 524 to 776 of the family's 1533-position model. The record is from RNAcentral.
UACAGAGGUCCCAAGCGUUGUUCGGAUUCACUGGGCGUAAAGGGUGCGUAGGCGGUGGGGUGAGUUUGAGGUGAAAUCUCCGGGCCCAACCCGGGAAGUGCACUCGAUACUGCGUAGCUUGAGUCUCGGAGAGGUUGGUGGAAUUCUCGGUGUAGAGGUGAAAUUCGUAGAUAUCGAGAGGAACACCGGUGGCGAAGGCGGCCAACUGGACGAAGACUGACGCUGAGACACGAAAGCGUGGGGAGCAAACAGG